UACGUAGGGGGCAAGCGUUGUCCGGAAUCAUUGGGCGUAAAGAGCGUGUAGGCGGCCCGAUAAGUCCGCUGUGAAAGUCCAGGGCUCAACCCUGGGAUGCCGGUGGAUACUGUCGGGCUCGAGUCCGGAAGAGGAGUGUGGAAUUCCUGGUGUAGCGGUGAAAUGCGCAGAUAUCAGGAAGAACACCAAUGGCGAAAGCAGCUUUCUGGGACGGUACUGACGCUGAGGUGCGAAAGCGUGGGGAGCGAACAGG
RNAcentral lists this ribosomal RNA (253 nucleotides) under uncultured bacterium. Its description in RNAcentral is "partial 16S ribosomal RNA". It matches the Rfam family "Bacterial small subunit ribosomal RNA", at positions 524 to 776 of the family's 1533-position model. The record is from RNAcentral.